AUAUUUCCAACUCCCUACCCUCUCACUUAUUCAAUAAACAAAUGAAAGGCAGCAUUUUUUCAAACUUUAUUUACUCUUGAGUCCUUUUUAGAUCGUGUUUAUCAAUAGAAACUGUUAAUAAAUUGGUUUAAAUUAAAUUAUAUUGUGAUGGCUCAAAUGCAUAAAAAAUCGGAACCAAAUGUGGUUGUAAAGAUGUGUAACAAGGUCAAGCUACUCUAUACUGAUCCAUUCUUAUGGCAAGUUGUUAAAAGUUGGUCUCUUUUCUCUGGUGGAGUAUAUUUAGCAAGGGCUCUUGGGCCAGUUAUCUCGGACAACAUGGAACCUGUUUAACUAAAUGAUUAUAUUUCACUAAGGACAAAUUUCAUUCAAUAGAAAUGUCAUCUGGUCAAUAUUAACAAAUUUUAGUUGAUUUUUAUAUUCAUAGGAAUAUAAUGUCAACUUCUGAUCAUUUUGUAACUAGUGCUAGAAGUUAAUUUAGUUAUUAAAAGGUUUAUGCUCAAGA
Tetranychus urticae (two-spotted spider mite) is the source of this 502-nucleotide long non-coding RNA. RefSeq lists it as uncharacterized. Lineage: Eukaryota; Metazoa; Arthropoda; Arachnida; Trombidiformes; Tetranychidae. The record is from RefSeq and is a predicted model, not a curated record.